GCCUCUGUAGCUCAGUGGAUAGAGCGACCGCCUCCUAAGCGGUAGGUCGCAGGUUCGAUUCCUGCCAGGGGCA
Molecule: non-coding RNA, 73 nt
Organism: Frankia sp.
Lineage: Bacteria; Bacillati; Actinomycetota; Actinomycetes; Frankiales; Frankiaceae
Source: Rfam